AGUGAUCGCUGGCGGUAGGCCUAACACAUGCAAGUCGAACGGCAGCACAGUAAGAGCUUGCUCUUACGGGUGGCGAGUGGCGGACGGGUGAGGAAUACAUCGGAAUCUACUUUUUCGUGGGGGAUAACGUAGGGAAACUUACGCUAAUACCGCAUACGACCUACGGGUGAAAGCAGGGGAUCUUCGGACCUUGCGCGAUUGAAUGAGCCGAUGUCGGAUUAGCUAGUUGGCGGGGUAAAGGCCCACCAAGGCGACGAUCCGUAGCUGGUCUGAGAGGAUGAUCAGCCACACUGGAACUGAGACACGGUCCAGACUCCUACGGGAGGCAGCAGUGGGGAAUAUUGGACAAUGGGCGCAAGCCUGAUCCAGCCAUACCGCGUGGGUGAAGAAGGCCUUCGGGUUGUAAAGCCCUUUUGUUGGGAAAGAAAAGCAGCAGGUUAAUACCCCGCUGUUCUGACGGUACCCAAAGAGUAAGCACCGGCUAACUUCGUG
RNAcentral lists this ribosomal RNA (492 nucleotides) under uncultured bacterium. RNAcentral's name for it is "partial 16S ribosomal RNA". It matches the Rfam family "Bacterial small subunit ribosomal RNA", at positions 29 to 507 of the family's 1533-position model. The record is from RNAcentral.